Molecule: small nuclear RNA, 159 nt
Organism: Heterocephalus glaber (naked mole-rat)
Lineage: Eukaryota; Metazoa; Chordata; Mammalia; Rodentia; Bathyergidae
Gene: U4
Rfam family: U4 spliceosomal RNA
About the family: U4 small nuclear RNA (U4 snRNA) is a component of the major U2-dependent spliceosome. The structure of U4 snRNA from yeast and human has been reported.
Source: Ensembl
AGCUUUGCACAGUGGCAGUAUCAUAGCCAAUGAGGUUUAUCUGAGAUGUGAUUAUUGGUAACUGAAAACUUUUCCAAAAUUGAGUGCACCUCUGUGCAUCUUCACCAGUGACACCUGAGAAUCAGGGGCCUUACAUCCUCUGGAACCACCAUUAUUGGU